RNAcentral lists this ribosomal RNA (253 nucleotides) under uncultured bacterium. Its description in RNAcentral is "partial 16S ribosomal RNA". It matches the Rfam family "Bacterial small subunit ribosomal RNA", at positions 524 to 776 of the family's 1533-position model. The record is from RNAcentral.
UACGUAGGGUGCAAGCGUUAAUCGGAAUUACUGGGCGUAAAGCGUGCGCAGGCGGUUGUGUAAGACAGAUGUGAAAUCCCCGGGCUUAACCUGGGAACUGCAUUUGUGACUGCACGGCUAGAGUGUGUCGGAGGGGGGUAGAAUUCCACGUGUAGCAGUGAAAUGCGUAGAGAUGUGGAGGAACACCGAUGGCGAAGGCAGCCCCCUGGGUUAACACUGACGCUCAGGCACGAAAGCGUGGGGAGCAAACAGG